AGUCGAACGCAGUAGCAAUACUGAGUAGCAAACGGGUGAGUAUAAUGUGGGAAUCUGCCUUUUGGUUUGGAAUAACACGGGGAAACUUGUGCUAAUACCGAAUAAGCCCUUACGGGGAAAGUUUUAACGCCGAAAGAUGAGCCUGCACUUGAUUAGCUAGUUGGUAAGGUAAAGGCUUACCAAGGCAAUGAUCAAUAGCUGUUCUUAGAGGAAGACCAGCCACAUUGGGACUGAGACACGGCCCAGACUCCUACGGGAGGCAGCAGUGGGGAAUCUUGCACAAUGGGGGAAACCCUGAUGCAGCGAUGCCGCGUGAGUGAAGAAGGCCCUUGGGUUGUAAAACUCUUUCGUCGGGGAAGAAAAUGACUGUACCCGAAUAAGAAGGUCCGGCUAACUUCGUGCCAGCAGCCGCGGUAAUACGAAGGGACCUAGCGUAGUUCGGAAUUACUGGGCUUAAAGAGCUCGUAGGUGGUUAAAAAAGUUGAUGGUGAAAUCCCAAGGCUCAACCUUGGAACUGCCAUCAAAACUUUUUAGCUAGAGUGUGAUAGAGGUAAGUGGAAUUUCUAGUGUAGAGGUGAAAUUCGUAGAUAUUAGAAAGAACACCAAAUGCGAAGGCAACUUACUGGGUCACUACUGACACUGAGGAGCGAAAGCAUGGGUAGCGAAGAGGAUUAGAUACCCUCGUAGUCCAUGCCGUAAACGAUGUGUGCUAGACGUUGGAAAUUUAUUUUUCAGUGUCGCAGCGAAAGCAUUAAGCACACCGCCUGGGGAGUAUGACCGCAAGGUUAAAACUCAAAUGAAUUG
Molecule: ribosomal RNA, 804 nt
Filed under: uncultured marine bacterium
Lineage: Bacteria
Description: bacterial SSU rRNA
Rfam family: Bacterial small subunit ribosomal RNA
Source: RNAcentral